GACGAACGCUGGCGGCGUGCUUAACACAUGCCAGUCGAACGGAAAGGCCCUGCUUUUGUGGGGUGCUCGAGUGGCGAACGGGUGAGUAACACGUGAGUAACCUGCCCUUGACUUUGGGAUAACUUCAGGAAACUGGGGCUAAUACCGGAUAGGAGCUCCUGCUGCAUGGUGGGGGUUGGAAAGUUUCGGCGGUUGGGGAUGGACUCGCGGCUUAUCAGCCUGUUGGUGGGGUAGUGGCUUACCAAGGCUUUGACGGGUAGCCGGCCUGAGAGGGUGACCGGCCACAUUGGGACUGAGAUACGGCCCAGACUCCUACGGGAGGCAGCAGUGGGGAAUAUUGCACAAUGGGCGGAAGCCUGAUGCAGCAACGCCGCGUGCGGGAUGACGGCCUUCGGGUUGUAAACCGCUUUCGCCUGUGACGAAGCGUGAGUGACGGUAAUGUGUAAAGAAGCACCGGCUAACUACGUG
RNAcentral lists this ribosomal RNA (468 nucleotides) under uncultured bacterium. Its description in RNAcentral is "partial 16S ribosomal RNA". It matches the Rfam family "Bacterial small subunit ribosomal RNA", at positions 28 to 507 of the family's 1533-position model. The record is from RNAcentral.